Molecule: long non-coding RNA, 721 nt
Filed under: Parus major (Great Tit)
Lineage: Eukaryota; Metazoa; Chordata; Aves; Passeriformes; Paridae
Description: lncRNA (ENSPMJG00000018713.1)
Source: RNAcentral
CUGGGACAGGGCAGCAAAGCCUGGCCUUGGGGUUUGGGAGCCAGGGAGCCACUGCCUCUCAGCAGCCUCAUGAGAUGCUCAGCAAGGUAACCCUUCUUGGCCCUCCCUGAUCCACUCGUGGCUGAGCCUGGCCUGGGAAGUUACAUUUUCAUUUUUAUUUUAUUUUAUUUUAUUUUAUUUUAUUUUAUUUUAUUUUAUUUUAUUUUAUUUUAUUUUAUCUUAUCUUAUUUUAUUUUAUAUUUUACUUUGCAUGUACCUGUGAGGAGUGGACUCCUUCCUGGAAACUGGGACUCACUCCUUCCUACUGGGAUGGCUGGAGGCCUGCAGGAUAUCAGGCAGGACAUCCUUUAUCAGACAAACAGGAGCCUUUCUGAGAGUGUUGCUCCCAACACCACUGCCAAGUCUCAGGAGAGAAGGAAUCUCUUUCCAGCAGACUUUCGUGGGCUUUGGAAGAGCCCCCUGAUCUAUGGCAAAUGAGGAGAUGACUUGAAUGGAGCAGUCCCAAUCCAAAUAACACUCUUCUCCCAGGAGCCUCCUGAGAUUUAUAGGAUUUUACAUCCCUGGACACUAUUUGGGGUGGUUUAUGUGCCACAUUUUUUUACUGUUAUGCUGGCAAAACAACCAUAGAAUCUAGCUUGGGAAAACAAGGUGGGAGAUAAAUCCUCGUGGCGUGGGCUCUCCCAGCAAUAAAAUGGGCUACAGGUGGAGAAAUAGGCCCUUG